GAUGAAGAACGUAGCGAAAUGCGAUACGUAAUGUGAAUUGCAGAAUUCAGUGAAUCAUCGAAUCUUUGAACGCAUAUUGCGCUCUUUGGUAUUCCGAAGAGCAUGCUUGUUUGAGUAUCAGUAAACACCUCAAGACUUCAAUUUGUUUUGAAUGGCUUUGGACUUGAGCAAUCCCAACACCAGUCUUUACGAUCGGUGGAGGGUUGCUUGAAAUGCAGGUGCAGCUGGACAUUCUCCUGAGCUAAAAGCAUAUUUAUUUAGUCCCGUCAAACGGAUUAUUACUUUUGCUGCAGCUAACAUAAAGGGAGUUUGACCGUAUUGGCUGACUGAUGCAGGAUUUCACAAGGGUCGGCAACGAUUCUUGUAAAACUCGAUCUCAAAUCAAGUAAGACUACCCGCUGAACUUAAGCAUAUCAAUAAGCGGAGGA
Molecule: unclassified non-coding RNA, 428 nt
Filed under: soil metagenome
Description: partial contains 5.8S ribosomal RNA, internal transcribed spacer 2, and large subunit ribosomal RNA
Rfam family: 5.8S ribosomal RNA (bases 1-120)
Source: RNAcentral